GACGAACGCUGGCGGCGUGCUUAACACAUGCAAGUCGAACGGAAAGGCCCUGCUUUUGUGGGGUGCUCGAGUGGCGAACGGGUGAGUAACACGUGAGUAACCUGCCCUUGACUUUGGGAUAACUUCAGGAAACUGGGGCUAAUACCGGAUAGGAGCUCCUGCUGCAUGGUGGGGGUUGGAAAGUUUCGGCGGUUGGGGAUGGACUCGCGGCUUAUCAGCUUGUUGGUGGGGUAGUGGCUUACCAAGGCUUUGACGGGUAGCCGGCCUGGGAGGGUGACCGGCCACAUUGCGACUGCGAUACGGCCCAGACUCCUACGGGAGGCAGCAGUGGGGAAUAUUGCACAAUGGGCGGAAGCCUGAUGCAGCAACGCCGCGUGCGGGAUGACGGCCUUCGGGUUGUAAACCGCUUUCGCCUGUGACGAAGCGUGAGUGACGGUAAUGGGUAAAGAAGCACCGGCUAACUACGUG
This 468-nucleotide ribosomal RNA is filed under the name uncultured bacterium. RNAcentral's name for it is "partial 16S ribosomal RNA". It matches the Rfam family "Bacterial small subunit ribosomal RNA", at positions 28 to 507 of the family's 1533-position model. The record is from RNAcentral.